RNAcentral lists this long non-coding RNA (652 nucleotides) under Homo sapiens (human). Its description in RNAcentral is "non-protein coding lnc-SPOPL-9:1". The record is from RNAcentral. Lineage: Eukaryota; Metazoa; Chordata; Mammalia; Primates; Hominidae.
AUGCCUGAAAUAAACACUGACCACCUCAACGAGCAACAGGUUCAACUCCUGGCAGAGAUGUGUACACUUAUUGAUGAAAAUGACAAUAAAAUUGGGGCUGAGAACAUUGAGAAAGGGUUAUUGCAUUGAGCUUUUAGUGUCUUCUUAUUCAACACUGAAAAUAAGCUUCUGCUACAGCAAAGAUCAGAUGCUAAGAUUACCUUUCCAAGUUGUUUUACUAAUACUUGUUGUAGUUAUCUAUUAAGUAAACCAGGUGAACUUGAGGAAAAUGAUGGCCUUGGAGUGAGGAGAGCAGCACAGAGGCAGCUGAAAGCUGAGCUAGGAAUUCCCUUGGAAGAGGUUCCUCCAGAAGAAAUUAAUUAUUUAACACUAAUUCACUACAAAGCUCAGUCGGAUGGUAUCUGAGGUGAACAUGAAAUUGAUUACAUUUUGUUUGUGAGGAAGAAUGUAACUUUGAAUCCAGAUCCCAGUGAGAUUAAAAGCUAUUGUUAUGUGUCAAAAGAAGAACUAAAAGAACUUGGGGAAAAAAGCAGCCAAUUGUGAAAUUAAGAUAACGUCAUGGUUUCAAAUUAUUGCAGAGGCUUUUCUCUUUAAAUGGUGGGAUAACUUAAAUCAUUUGAAUCAGUUUGUUGACCAUGAGAAAAUAUACAGA